UAGUCAUAUGCUUGUCUCAAAGAUUAAGCCAUGCAUGUCUAAGCACAAGCCGAUUAAUGGUGAAGCCGCGAAUGGCUCAUUACAACAGCCAUAGUUUCUUAGAUCUUACUUUUCUACUUGGAUAACUGUGGUAAUUCUAGAGCUAAUACACGCAAACAAGCUCAGACCUUACGGAAUGAGCGCAUUUAUUAGAACAAAAACCAAUCGGGCUUCGGUCCGUCAUUUGGUGAAUCUGAAUAACUUUGCUGAUCGCACGGUCUUCGUACCGGCGACAUAUCUUUCAAAUGUCUGCCUUAUCAACUUUCGAUGGUAGUUUAUGCGCCUACCAUGGUUGUAACGGGUAACGGAGAAUAAGGGUUCGACUCCGGAGAGGGAGCCUGAGAAACGGCUGCCACAUCCAAGGAAGGCAGCAGGCACGCAAAUUACCCACUCCCGGCACGGGGAGGUAGUGACGAAAAAUAACGAGACGGUUCGCUAUGCGGUCCGUCAUCGGAAUGGGUACAAUUUAAAUCCUUUAACGAGGAUCUAUU
This 530-nucleotide ribosomal RNA is filed under the name uncultured eukaryote. RNAcentral describes it as "SSU rRNA". It matches the Rfam family "Eukaryotic small subunit ribosomal RNA", at positions 21 to 549 of the family's 1831-position model. The record is from RNAcentral.